RNAcentral lists this long non-coding RNA (202 nucleotides) under Elaeis guineensis (African oil palm). RNAcentral describes it as "long non-coding RNA (EGUI_LNC038179)". The record is from RNAcentral. Lineage: Eukaryota; Viridiplantae; Streptophyta; Magnoliopsida; Arecales; Arecaceae.
GAUUAUCCGGGCUUAGGUUUUGCUAAAUUGAAAUACACUGAUGCAUAUCUCCUACUAAUUCGGAGGGGUCAAUCUCAUCUUGACUCAUGCACCGACUUGACAAGUAUUUGACUGCACCCAGAAACCUUCUAUCACUGAAUUAGAAACUUAGUUAGUUUGGCACCAAAAUAUAGUGAGUUGCUUGCAAGUCACCGUGGUGAUC